CAAAACGACGCUAUUUGGAUAUAAAGAUGGAUUAUUUGGGACCAAACUUACAUUUGUUAUUGAAGUAGAAGUCCUGGGAGUGCAUUCUGACGAAGACAACAAAAGGUAAUCAAACUUUUAUAAUAGUAAAUCUGAUAUUGGUGAAGGCUAAACGUGCUGGGUGUCUAAAUAGCUAGCCCUUGAUGGCUGGGCUAUGUACUUAGAAUAUUGCAAAAUGUGCUUCAUCCGAAAAGAUAUUUUAAAAUCGGACAUAUGGAGUGCAUAGAGGAGUAAUGUAUCUAUAAUUCUUAAAAUAAUUGUUAUGCUUUUUGUGAACGUUUAUCGUGAGUAAUUUAGUAAAAUUGUUAGUAAAUUCACCGGAAGUUUGCGGGGGGUAUGCUAGUUCUGAACGUCACAUGCUAAUGUAAAAAGCUGUUUUUUGAUAUAAAUAUGAACUUGAUUGAACAGACAUGCAUGUAUUGUAUAACAUAAUGUCCUAGGUGUGUCAUCUGAUGAAGAUCAUAAAAGGUUAGUGCUGCAUUUAGCUGUGGCUUUGGGUUUAUGUGACAUUGUAUGCUAGCUUGAAAAAUGGGUGUCUGAUUAUUUCUGGCUGGGCACUCUCCUGACAUAAUCUAAUGUUUUGUUUUCGUUGUAAAGCCUUUUUGAAAUCGGACAGUGUGGUUAGAUAAACGAGAGUCUUGUCUUUAAAUAGCUGUAAAAUAGUCAUAUGUUUGAGAAAUUGAAGUAAUAGUAUUUCAAACGAUUCAAAAAUCGCGCCACUGGAUUAGACUGGCUGUUACGUAGGUGGGACGAAUUCGUCCCGCCUAGCCCAUAGAGGUUAACUACAUUGGUGUCAGGUAAUUGGACAACACCACUGAAAGCAUGUCCUGGCAGAGUUAUAGUCACAAUAAGCUGUGUUCGAGGAAUAAGCUGUGUUAGAAUACCCACACUAAAAUACUGUAUACUACAUACUUAAUGAGUAUAUAGUAUGUACUAUUAGUUCAUUAGUGCGGUUAGUAUGCGUAUUCAAACACAACUAUAGUCAGGGAUGGAAAGUGAGCUAGCCCACUAGCCCGAGGCUACUACCUUUCAGACCAGACUAGUAGAUCUACUAGCCCGAGGCUACUACCUUUCAGACCAGACUAGUAGACCCACUAGCCCGAGGCUACUACCUUUCAGACAAGAAUAGUAGACCCACUAGCCCGAGGCUACUACCUUUCAGACCAGAAUAGUAGACCCACUAGCGCGAGGCUACUACCUUUCAGACCAGACUAGUAGAUCCACUAGCCCGAGGCUAUCACCUUUCAGACAAGAAUAGUAUAAAAUGUGCCCAUCUAACCAGCUAGUCUGAGGAUAGUACACUAUAGACCAUUCACUAGAGGUAAAGAUCUAUAGAACUAUAGACCAUUCACUAGAGGAAUAGAACUAUAGACCAUUCACUAGAGGUAAAGAACUAUAGAACUAUAGACCAUUCACUAGAGGAAUAGAACUAUAGACCAUUCACUAGAGGAAUAGAACUAUGGACCAUUCACUAGAGGUAAAGAACUAUAGACCAUUCACUAGAGGUAUAGAACUAUAGAACUAUAGACCAUUCACUAGAGGAAUAGAACUAUAGACCAUUCACUAGAGGUAAAGAACUAUAGAACUAUAGACCAUUCACUAGAGGUAAAGAACUAUAGAACUAUAGACCAUUCACUAGAGGUUUAGAACUAUAGACCAUUCACUAGAGGUAUAGAAAUAUAGACCAUUCACUAGAGGUAUAGAACUAUAGAUCAUUCACUAGAGGUAUAGAACUAUAGAACUAUAGACCAUUCACUAGAGGUAUAGAACUAUAGACCAUUCACUAGAGGUAAAGAACUAUAGAACUAUAGACCAUUCACUAGAGGUAUAGAACUAUAGACCAUUCACUAGAGGUAUAGAAACAAGGGGUGGAGCCCAUGAGGUGGUGGGAGGAGACGGAGGGAUGAGUACAGCUUUGGGAAUUCUGUUCGUCUUUUUUUCCGCCCAACAAGGUGGCUAAAUAGGGUGUGAGCCGUUCUGAGAUGUUGUUGCGGGAAGUAUGUGCCUCUGGGUUACUGGGGAAUAGAUGCUUUAUAAUAGCCUGUGUGUUUCUGGGUAAGGUUGGGCCCUGACUCUUUGUGUUGUUAAGAGGAUUCUAGAACAGGUCAGUUGGUUUCUUACUGUCACAUGUAUGCCGGUGAUCUGAGUCAGACCUUUUAUUUAAU
RNAcentral lists this long non-coding RNA (2204 nucleotides) under Salmo salar (Atlantic salmon). RNAcentral's name for it is "lncRNA (ENSSSAG00000113703.1)". The record is from RNAcentral. Lineage: Eukaryota; Metazoa; Chordata; Actinopteri; Salmoniformes; Salmonidae.